Molecule: ribosomal RNA, 329 nt
Filed under: uncultured eukaryote
Lineage: Eukaryota
Description: partial 18S ribosomal RNA
Rfam family: Eukaryotic small subunit ribosomal RNA
Source: RNAcentral
CCCUUAGAUGUUCUGGGCCGCACGCGCGCUACACUGAUGCAUUCAACGAGUCUAAAACCUGGUCUGAGAGGGCUGGGUAAUCUUUUGAAAGUGCAUCGUGAUUGGGGUAGAUGAUUGCAAUUCUUCAUCUUCAACGAGGAAUGCCUAGUAAACGCAAGUCAUCAGCUUGCAUUGAUUACGUCCCUGCCCUUUGUACACACCGCCCGUCGCUCCUACCGAUUGAACGAUCCGAUGAAAACUGUGGAUUGAGAGUCUGAGUGGGUUCGCCUACCUCAACUUUCGAGAAGCGGUUUAAAUCUUAUCGUUUAGAGGAAGGAGAAGUCGUAACA